AGAGUUUGAUCCUGGCUCAGGAUGAACGCUAGCGGCAGGCCCAACACAUGCAAGUCGAGGGGCAUCGGGGAAAAGCUUGCUUUUCCGCCGGCGACCGGCGCACGGGUGCGGAACGCGUAUGGAACCUGCCCCUGUCAGGGGAAUAGCCCAGGGAAACUUGGAUUAAUGCCCCAUGGUACCGUUAUAUCGCAUGAUAUUACGGUUAAAGAUUUAUCGGACAGGGAUGGCCAUGCGUACCAUUAGUUAGUUGGUGAGGUAACGGCUCACCAAGGCAGCGAUGGUUAGGGGCCCUGAGAGGGGGAUCCCCCACACUGGUACUGAGACACGGCCCAGACUCCUACGGGAGGCAGCAGUGGGGAAUCUUAGACAAUGGGGGAAACCCUGAUCCAGCCAUGCCGCGUGCAGGAUGACGGCCCUAUGGGUUGUAAACUGCUUUUAUACGGGAAGAAACGCGCCCACGUGUGGGCGUUUGACGGUACCGUAAGAAUAAGGACCGGCUAACUCCGUGCCAGCCGCCGCGGUAAUAC
This 527-nucleotide ribosomal RNA is filed under the name uncultured bacterium. Its description in RNAcentral is "bacterial SSU rRNA". It matches the Rfam family "Bacterial small subunit ribosomal RNA", at positions 8 to 526 of the family's 1533-position model. The record is from RNAcentral.